RNAcentral lists this ribosomal RNA (494 nucleotides) under uncultured bacterium. RNAcentral describes it as "partial 16S ribosomal RNA". It matches the Rfam family "Bacterial small subunit ribosomal RNA", at positions 28 to 507 of the family's 1533-position model. The record is from RNAcentral.
GACGAACGCUGGCGGCGUGCUUAACACAUGCAAGUCGAACGGUGAAGCGCCUUCCUUUUUGGUGGGUGUGGAUGAGUGGCGAACGGGUGAGUAACACGUGAGUAACCUGCCCCCUUCUUCUGGAUAACCGCAUGAAAGUGUGGCUAAUACGGGAUAUUCUGGGUCUGUCGCAUGAUGGGUCUGGGAAAGAUAUUGUUUCGGUGGGGGAUGGGCUCGCGGCCUAUCAGCUUGUUGGUGGGGUGAUGGCCUACCAAGGCGGUGACGGGUAGCCGGCCUGAGAGGGUGGACGGUCACACUGGGACUGAGCCACGGCCCAGCCUCCGACGGGAGGCAGCAGUGGGGAUUAUUGCACGAUGGGCGCAAGCCUGAUGCAGCGACGCCGCGUGAGGGAUGGAGGCCUUCGGGUUGUGAACCUCUUUCGCCAGUGAAGCAGGCCUGCCUCGUUUGUGGGUGGGUUGACGGUAGCUGGAGAAGAAGCGCCGGCUAACUACGUG